This is a long non-coding RNA of Quercus robur (English oak), 1147 nucleotides long. RefSeq lists it as uncharacterized. The transcript has 5 exons. The record is from RefSeq and is a predicted model, not a curated record. NCBI's taxonomy places the organism in Eukaryota, Viridiplantae, Streptophyta, Magnoliopsida, Fagales, Fagaceae.
AAAAAAAGAAAAAGAAAAAAGAAAAAAAGAUUGGUACACGGAGAAAGGAGAGAGAGAUGAGGCGCGCCGAAGACCCUAACACACAGAGAGACCGAGAGCCAGAUUAAGAGAUCCCAACAAUGGCGACACGUUUUAAGGAGAGAGAGAGAGAGAGAGAAAAGAGAAUUCCCACUUUCCUAACCAUUCGACAAUUCCCCCUCUCUCUUCGGUCUCAUCACCAUCCCUUGCCAAACUUAGACCACGGGAACCGGCACCGGUAACCUAAAGGGAGAAAGACAGACAUCUCAGGGCCGGCACUACCGUCGGCCUCCAACCACAAGGAAACUUUGUUUCUUCUGCCGUUGCACCGCCAGAGCCGUUAUUGGGUGGGCAGAGUCACUUCCAUGCAACUUUGAAGGCAUCAUGCAUGAGAGGCUAUAUAAUAUUCCGAUUGAACCUCAACAUAAAACUUCAGAUGAAAGUGCAGUAAAAUGACAUGUCAAAAAUAAACUGAAACGCCACACCCAAAGAAACAAAACCAGUCAUUCUGCCAUUUUUGUCACCACUGUACUGCUAGAAUAGUCACCAGGUACUAAAAACAAUGUUGACUGUGUUGAUGACUCUAUAGUUGAAAUCAAAUGCUCUAAUUUAGCUAAUGUUAAUGUUGAAAAGUCUUUUGAUGGUUCACAAGAUAGUGAAUCUUCUGUUUCUCAAAAAAAAGAUAGUGAAUCUUCUGAGUGCUUCAAAUGCCCAUUAGAGAAGGUAUUUAUUUAUGACCUUCACAAUGAGUUCCACUCAUGAUUUGCAUGUCCUAAACUGCAGCGAAUGAUGAAGCCGUUGAUGUACUACACUAUAUUACUUUUGAAAUGGUGUGUGCUUAAUGGCACCAUGUAUGCUUUCCCCAUGGAGUUUAAGUUGCACCACUACUAUGUUCGUGCUACUGGUGUACAAGUCUAUCAUAUUAGAUUGCUGCAUCGUUCAAGAGCUACUAUUGCGUUAAGGCUGCAUCAAUCAAGUGUUGCUAUUGUAUUCAGUGAUGAAAUACUCAUUGACGUACUGUAAUAAUUAAUCAGUAGUUGAAAUUUACAAGAUAUGUGAAAUGAUUCUUCUUUUUUGCUUUCUACACAUUGUAUAAUACAUUUGAUUAAUCAAUUUUAUAAUUAUGCUA